GAUGAAGAACGCAGCGAAACGCGAUAGUUAAUGUGAAUUGCAGAAUUCA
RNAcentral lists this ribosomal RNA (49 nucleotides) under Orbilia oligospora. RNAcentral describes it as "partial 5.8S ribosomal RNA". Lineage: Eukaryota; Fungi; Ascomycota; Orbiliomycetes; Orbiliales; Orbiliaceae. The record is from RNAcentral.